RNAcentral lists this unclassified non-coding RNA (162 nucleotides) under uncultured fungus. RNAcentral's name for it is "sequence contains ITS2". The record is from RNAcentral. Lineage: Eukaryota; Fungi.
UCAACCAUCAGGCCUAGCUUGUCGUUGGACCCCUUUGCAGCUGAAAUAUGCAGCAGGUCCGAAAGAUAAUGACGGCGUCGUGUUUGACCCUAGAUGCAACGAGCUUUUUAUAGCACGCAUUGAAGUGGUCGGCCGACCCGGUCUUUAACCAUCAUUUUCUAA